GAUGAACGCUGGCGGCGCGCCUAACACAUGCAAGUCGAACGGAGCUGUUUUCUCUGAAGUUUUCGGAUGGAAGAGAGUUCAGCUUAGUGGCGAACGGGUGAGUAACACGUGAGCAACCUGCCUUUCAGUGGGGGACAACAUUUGGAAACGAAUGCUAAUACCGCAUAAGACCACAGUGUCGCAUGGCACAGGGGUCAAAGGAUUUAUCCGCUGAAAGAUGGGCUCGCGUCCGAUUAGCUAGAUGGUGAGGUAACGGCCCACCAUGGCGACGAUCGGUAGCCGGACUGAGAGGUUGAACGGCCACAUUGGGACUGAGACACGGCCCAGACUCCUACGGGAGGCAGCAGUGGGGAAUAUUGCACAAUGGGGGAAACCCUGAUGCAGCGACGCCGCGUGGAGGAAGAAGGUCUUCGGAUUGUAAACUCCUGUCCCAGGGGACGAUAAUGACGGUACCCUGGGAGGAAGCACCGGCUAACUACGUGCCAGCAGCCGCGGUAAAACGUAGGGUGCAAGCGUUGUCCGGAAUUACUGGGUGUAAAGGGAGCGCAGGCGGAUUGGCAAGUUGGGAGUGAAAUCUAUGGGCUCAACCCAUAAAUUGCUUUCAAAACUGUCAGUCUUGAGUGGUGUAGAGGUAGGCGGAAUUCCCGGUGUAGCGGUGGAAUGCGUAGAUAUCGGGAGGAACACCAGUGGCGAAGGCGGCCUACUGGGCACUAACUGACGCUGAGGCUCGAAAGCA
Molecule: ribosomal RNA, 736 nt
Filed under: uncultured Lachnospiraceae bacterium
Lineage: Bacteria; Bacillati; Bacillota; Clostridia; Lachnospirales; Lachnospiraceae
Description: bacterial SSU rRNA
Rfam family: Bacterial small subunit ribosomal RNA
Source: RNAcentral